AGCCUUCUGUAUUCAUGCUGAGAUUUGGUCACACACCAGACCACAAGGGCAGAUUACACUCCCAAGAUUAGUGAAGCG
Molecule: non-coding RNA, 78 nt
Organism: Schistosoma curassoni
Lineage: Eukaryota; Metazoa; Platyhelminthes; Trematoda; Strigeidida; Schistosomatidae
Source: Rfam